This 465-nucleotide ribosomal RNA is filed under the name Vreelandella stevensii. Its description in RNAcentral is "partial 16S ribosomal RNA". It matches the Rfam family "Bacterial small subunit ribosomal RNA", at positions 338 to 795 of the family's 1533-position model. Lineage: Bacteria; Pseudomonadati; Pseudomonadota; Gammaproteobacteria; Oceanospirillales; Halomonadaceae. The record is from RNAcentral.
CCUACGGGUGGCAGCAGUGGGGAAUAUUGGACAAUGGGAGCAACCCUGAUCCAGCCAUGCCGCGUGUGUGAAGAAGGCCCUCGGGUUGUAAAGCACUUUCAGUGAGGAAGAACGCCUGGUGGUUAAUACCCAUCAGGAAAGACAUCACUCACAGAAGAAGCACCGGCUAACUCCGUGCCAGCAGCCGCGGUAAUACGGAGGGUGCGAGCGUUAAUCGGAAUUACUGGGCGUAAAGCGCGCGUAGGUGGCUUGAUAAGCCGGUUGUGAAAGCCCCGGGCUCAACCUGGGAACGGCAUCCGGAACUGUCAAGCUAGAGUGCAGGAGAGGAAGGUAGAAUUCCCGGUGUAGCGGUGAAAUGCGUAGAGAUCGGGAGGAAUACCAGUGGCGAAGGCGGCCUUCUGGACUGACACUGACACUGAGGUGCGAAAGCGUGGGUAGCAAACAGGAUUAGAUACCCGAGUAGUC